CUUUUCCUUCUGAUUAUGAAAUUCUAACUGCAAUUAUUUUCGGUACAGCCUCUUCCGCCUCAGGAGGAGAUGGAAUUGAAAGAGACACUACAAGAUAUAAUUGGACAGGGGAAGACAGUUAAGCUUGAACAGAAGAUAGAUCCUAGUAUUCUUGGUGGCCUUGUGAUAGAAUUUGGGCAGAAGGUCUUCGACAUGUCUAUUAAGACAAGGGCAAAA
Carica papaya (papaya) is the source of this 216-nucleotide non-coding RNA. The record is from RefSeq and is a predicted model, not a curated record. Lineage: Eukaryota; Viridiplantae; Streptophyta; Magnoliopsida; Brassicales; Caricaceae.